This 292-nucleotide ribosomal RNA is filed under the name uncultured bacterium. Its description in RNAcentral is "partial 16S ribosomal RNA". It matches the Rfam family "Bacterial small subunit ribosomal RNA", at positions 505 to 796 of the family's 1533-position model. The record is from RNAcentral.
GUGUCAGCAGCCGCGGUAAUACAGAGGGUGCAAGCGUUAAUCGGAAUUACUGGGCGUAAAGGGCGCGUAGGCGGUUAUAUAAGUUAGGUGUGAAAUCCCCGGGCUUAACCUGGGAAUGGCAUUUAAUACUGUAUGACUAGAGUAGAGUAGAGGGAAGUGGAAUUUCCGGUGUAGCGGUGAAAUGCGUAGAUAUCGGAAAGAACACCAGUGGCGAAGGCGGCUUCCUGGACUCAUACUGACGUUGAGGCGCGAAAGCGUGGGUAGCAAACAGGAUUAGAUACCCUUGUAGUCC